ACGAUUUUAGAAGCAAUGUAUUUCUAUUGGUAGUAUGUUUCGUGCCUGCACCAAAUAAUAACAAAUUAGAAGGAAAAAAAGAUGACAAAAAAUACAGAUUUCCACUGACUAUGGAGAAAUAUACCUCAAACAACCCCACUUCAAACAAUCCUGUCCCUUUUAAUUUGGCCAAAAAAGGUACAGUAACUAUAUACAAUAUAUUUUAUUUUUUAAAUUCAAUAAUUCAGAGAUAACUUGUGUUACUAACCAUAUUUGUCCUUACUUCACUCUUUUCUAACUCCACUAACUGAGCUGAUGUUGUUCAGAGGACAAAAAAGACAAGUAUGAGCUUCUGUCUGUAGAGAAAAUCCUGGAAUAGUCUAUAGUAUAAAAACACAGAAAGUAUUAUCAUGUAACCUACCUACAAACUGUAUGCAAUAUCUAAUUGUUUAUAUAAUAUAACUUGUUCAGUAAUUCACAGAUAAACGCUGCUGUUCGAUGUGGGCGAGAAGGUAGGAUCUUCCUUCUGACGCGUGUCAGGUUCAAGUCUACAAUGUCAAACUAGGAAACAAGUGUUAUUGCAUUGUUAAUCUGUUUAUUCAAUCAGUAUGCUCAUCCAUACUUUUUAAAUAAAUCAAAUAAAUGUUUUACUAACCUUACGUUUAUCAGACUCCAUCACCUGAGCCGCAGCUGUUCGCCACGGACAACAAACUUCAGAGAAUGCUGCCACUCGCUGUGGACACCAUGUAAGUAGUAGAAAAAUAAUGUUGUUGUGUGAACUGGUUCUCCAUGUGAUAUCAUUGAUUCAAAAUUGGAAUAUUAUUUGUCUUACUCGCCAUUUGAUAUCUUUCCUUCUCUUUUCUCCACCACCUGAGCUGCGAUUCACUGUGGAUAGAAACAGUAGAGUAGGAUAUAAAAUAAGCAAAUACAAUAUGUUUUAUGUAAACUAUCUGCAUCCUGUAAGCUACACUCAUCCAUACACACAUCGAUAUUCAGCCAUUUUAUUUUUACUAACCAUUAUGUAUAUUUCUCUCUGCUCUCCACCACCUGUUCCCUGCUGUUCACCGUGCACUUAAAGGUGAGCGUGAGCUUCAGACUGACAUAAAGCACAUGCAGGGUUACCUUGACGACUCAAGGGGAUAUGCUCCCAGCCGACCUUCAGGACAAGAUGGAGAUCAGACAGGGGUAUCAAUCAAUGACAUUUCCUGCAAGUCUUAAUUUAGCUUUUUUUAACAAUUCAAAUUGUUGCUCAUUGUAUUGUACUCUUAACACGUCUUGUUCAUUUCUCAUCCAGAGACACAGUGUUCUGUCCAGGCUGACCUCUGCAAGAGAGCUGGAGAGAUGAUCCUCUGUGUUUCAGUCUAUAUAAGUACCGUAAGAUUACAAAGAAAAGCAUUAGACACUUAAAAAGUUAACAUAACGCUGAAAAGGCAAACAAUGUUUCUGGAAGUCUGGGUCUCCUGAGGGGGGAUGCAGGCCAGAUCAGAGCGCUCCACUGAGCACGCUGUGUCAGCAUAAUCUCUCACUGUCCCUGUUUUGUUGUUGACUUCAAUAAAACACCCGGACCUGGUUUAAAGUCA
Molecule: long non-coding RNA, 1559 nt
Organism: Trematomus bernacchii (emerald rockcod)
Lineage: Eukaryota; Metazoa; Chordata; Actinopteri; Perciformes; Nototheniidae
Exons: 2
Source: RefSeq, a predicted model, not a curated record